CAGGCCUUGGGCUAACGUAGGCACUCUCGCAGUUCCUCCGCCUUCAGGAAGGUCUUUUUAGCAGGGGCCUUACGGGUGCAUGCUUCGGUCCUGGAGGACUUAGGCUAGCCUCCUCUCCAUCAGCGCCACCCGUCUGGGGCCCGAAAGGAGGGAGCUUUCCCUCUGUCCCCCAGCCUUUGGACUGUCACCAAACAAGCCAUUCGUUCACCAAAUACUUUUUAAGCGCCUACCAUGUGCCUGACAAGGGAUAUGUAACGCUGUUGUUCCACACCAGAACCAAAUGAGCGCAAGAUCUGACAAAAAAAAAAGUCCCUGUAUCCUGAGAUGGAGUCACCUGAGAAUCCACAGCAAGUCCUAACCAGGGAUGGGUCUGGGUGAUUAAGGAAGAUUGGCUUCAGAACUGGGCCAGGGGCACUGCUUUGCUUUUGCUGUUUUGAUCAGCUCUCUGCCUGCAGGAGACGAGGAAAACCAAUGGGAACAGAAACUCCUAGAGGGCAGAGGCAUGCCUGCCAUCUUCAUCAUUGCAUUACCAUCACCCAACACUAUCAGGGGACCUGCCCUGAUAAUCAGUCUACAGUUGUAUCCAGCAGCUCCAGAGAGACAGCGACCAGCAAGAAGGGGCCAUGAUGAUGGUGGUGGUUUUUUCAAAACGAAAAGGGGGAUAUGUAGGGAAAAGAAAGAGAGAUCAGACUCUUACAGACUCUUACUGUGUCUACAUAGAAAGGGAAGACAUAAGAGACUCCAUUUGGAAAAAGACCUGUACUUUAAACAAUUGCUUUGCUGAGAUGUUGUUAAUCUGUAGCUUUGCCCCAGCCACUUUGCCCCAACCACUUUGACCCAGUCUGGAGCUCACAAAAACAUGUGUUGUAUGAAAUCAAGGUUUAAGGCAUGUAGGGCUGUGCAGGAUGUGCCUUGUUAACCAAAUGUUUGCAAGCAGUAUACUUGGUAAAAGUCAUCACCAUUCUCUUGUCUCAAUAAACCAGGGGCACAAUGCACUGUGGAAAGCCGCAGGGACCUCUGCCCUUGAAAGCUGGGUAUUAUUCAAAGUUUCCCCCCAUGUGAUAGUCUGAAAUAUGGCCUCGUGGGAUGAGAAAGGCCUGACGGUCCCCUAGCCCGACACCCAUAAAAGGUCUGUGCUGAGGUGGAUUAGUCAAAGAGGAAAGACUCUUGCAUUUGAGAUAGAGGAAGGCCACUGUCUCCUGCCUGCCCCUGGGAACUGAAUGUCUCGGUAUAAAACACGAUUGUACAUUUGUUCAAUUCUGAGAUGGGAGAAAAACCGCCCUAUGGUGGGAGGUGAGACAUGUUUACAGCAAUACUGCCUUGAUAUUCUUUACUCCACUGAGAUGUUUGGGUGGAGAGAAACAUAAAUCUGGCUUACAUGCACGUUCAGUCAUAGUACCUUCCCUUGAACUUCAUUAUGACAUAGAUUCUAUUGCUCACAUGUUUGUUGCUGACCUUCUUAUUAUCACCCUGCCCUCCUACUACAUUCCUUUUUGCUGAAAUAAUAAAGAUAGUAUUCAAUAAAAACUGAGGGAACUCAGAGACCGGUGCCAGUGCAGGUCCUUGGUAUGCUAAGCGCCGGUACCCUGGGCCCACUGUUGUUUCUCUAUACUUUGUUUCUGUGUCUGAUUUCUUUUCUGUCUCUCAUCCCACCCAACAAGAAAUACCCACAGGUGUGGAGGGGCAGGCCACCCCUUCAGUAUGAG
This 1706-nucleotide long non-coding RNA is filed under the name Homo sapiens (human). RNAcentral describes it as "HSALNT0068900". Lineage: Eukaryota; Metazoa; Chordata; Mammalia; Primates; Hominidae. The record is from RNAcentral.